RNAcentral lists this RNase P RNA (333 nucleotides) under Caldisericum exile. RNAcentral's name for it is "RNase P RNA component class A". It matches the Rfam family "Bacterial RNase P class A". From Rfam's summary of the family: Ribonuclease P (RNase P) is a ubiquitous endoribonuclease, found in archaea, bacteria and eukarya as well as chloroplasts and mitochondria. Its best characterised activity is the generation of mature 5'-ends of tRNAs by cleaving the 5'-leader elements of precursor-tRNAs. RNAcentral also lists the same sequence under 2 other names. The record is from RNAcentral. Lineage: Bacteria; Pseudomonadati; Caldisericota; Caldisericia; Caldisericales; Caldisericaceae.
UAAGUAAGGAAGGUGGUCGCAGAAGGCAUAUUGUCCUUCUGAGGAAAGUCCGGACUCCUGGGAGCAGGGUGCUUGGGAAAUCCAAGCGGGGGUGACCCCAGGGAAAGUGCCACAGAAAAUAGACCGCUAACCAAUGGUUAGCAAGGGUGAAAAGGUGGUGUAAGAGACCACCGGUAGUCCUGGUGACAGGGCUAUGCAUGGCAAACCCCACCUGGAGCAAGGCCAAAUAGGGUAGCAAAGAGAUGCUCCCCUCACGCUACCGGGUUGGCCGCUGAGAUAAAUGACUGCCGCCUCUUUUGAGGAACAGAAUCCGGCUUAUUCCUUACUUAAGGC